RNAcentral lists this ribosomal RNA (424 nucleotides) under uncultured bacterium. RNAcentral describes it as "bacterial SSU rRNA". It matches the Rfam family "Bacterial small subunit ribosomal RNA", at positions 91 to 507 of the family's 1533-position model. The record is from RNAcentral.
GAGACCGGCGCACGGGUGCGUAACGCGUAUGCAAUCUACCUUUCACAGAGGAUAGCCCAGAGAAAUUUGGAUUAAUACCUCAUAGUAUAGCAGUUUCGCAUGAAACCACUAUUAAAGUUCCAACGGUGAAAGAUGAGCAUGCGUCCCAUUAGCUAGAUGGUAAGGUAAAGGCUCACCAAGCCGACGAUCUGUAGCUGGUCUGAGAGGACGACCAGCCACACUGGGACUGAGACACGGCCCCAGACUCCUACGGGAGGCAGCAGUGGGGGAAUAUUGGACAAUGGGCGCAAGCCUGAUCCAGCAAUGCCGCGUGCAGGAUGAAGGCCUUCGGGUUGUAAACUGCUUUUGUACGGAACGAAACGGUGAGCUCUAAUACAGUUUGCUAAUGACGGUACCGUAAGAAUAAGCACCGGCUAACUACGUG